RNAcentral lists this ribosomal RNA (1259 nucleotides) under metagenome. RNAcentral describes it as "bacterial SSU rRNA". It matches the Rfam family "Bacterial small subunit ribosomal RNA", at positions 243 to 1520 of the family's 1533-position model. The record is from RNAcentral.
AGCUUGUUGGUGGGGUAACGGCCCACCAAGGCGACGACGGGUAGCCGGCCUGAGAGGGCGACCGGCCACACUGGGACUGAGACACGGCCCAGACUCCUACGGGAGGCAGCAGUUAGGAAUCUUGCGCAAUGGGCGAAAGCCUGACGCAGCAACGCCGCGUGGGGGAUGAAGGCCCUCGGGUUGUAAACCCCUUUUCAGUCGGGACGAAAAUGACGGUACCGACAGAAGAAGCCCCGGCCAACUACGUGCCAGCAGCCGCGGUGACACGUAGGGGGCAAGCGUUGUCCGGAUUUAUUGGGCGUAAAGGGCUCGUAGGCGGUUCGACAAGUCGGGUGUGAAACCUCCAGGCUCAACCUGGAGUCGCCGCUCGAAACUGUUGUGACUAGAGUCCGGUAGAGGAGCAUGGAAUUUGUGGUGUAGCGGUGGAAUGCGCAGAUAUCACAAGGAACACCAGUAGCGAAGGCGAUGCUCUGGGCCGGUACUGACGCUGAGGAGCGAAAGCAUGGGGAGCGAACAGGAUUAGAUACCCUGGUAGUCCAUGCCGUAAACGUUGGGCACUAGGUGUGGGACCCUCUCAACGGGUUCCGUGCCGUAGCUAACGCAUUAAGUGCCCCGCCUGAGGAGUACGGCCGCAAGGCUAAAACUCAAAGGAAUUGACGGGGACCCGCACAAGCGGUGGAUGAUGUGGUUUAAUUCGAUGCAACGCGAAAAACCUUACCUACCCUUGACAUGCUUGGAACCUCGCAGAGAUGCGAGGGUGCCCGAAAGGGAGCCAAGACACAGGUGCUGCAUGGCUGUCGUCAGCUCGUGUCGUGAGAUGUUGGGUUAAGUCCCGCAACGAGCGCAACCCUUGCCAUUAGUUGCUACGAAAGGGCACUCUAAUGGGACUGCCGGUGACAAACCGGAGGAAGGUGGGGAUGACGUCAAGUCCUCAUGGCCCUUAUGGGUAGGGCUACACACGUCAUACAAUGGCUGGUACAGAGGGUUGCCAACCCGCGAGGGGGAGCUAAUCCCAUAAAACCAGUCGUAGUCCGGAUCGCAGUCUGCAACUCGACUGCGUGAAGUCGGAAUCGCUAGUAAUCGCGGAUCAGCAUGUCGCGGUGAAUACGUUCCCGGGUCUUGUACACACCGCCCGUCACACCAUGGGAGCGGGUUCUGCCAGAAGUAGUUAGCCUAACCGCAAGGAGGGCGAUUACCACGGCAGGGUUCGUGACUGGGGUGAAGUCGGAACAAGGUAGCCGUAUCGGAAGGUGCGGCUG